Molecule: long non-coding RNA, 753 nt
Organism: Syngnathus acus (greater pipefish)
Lineage: Eukaryota; Metazoa; Chordata; Actinopteri; Syngnathiformes; Syngnathidae
Exons: 3
Source: RefSeq, a predicted model, not a curated record
GAGGUAAACAAGCACCGCUAUCAGAAUGGAGCAGAGAGGCUUUGCAUAGGUCGGCCUAUUGCUCUAAUGGAAUAGAUUGUGCAGGAAUGAAUCUUCCACAUGGGUUGUAGGAGGCAGCUGGCAAGCAGCAACACAAUGUAAGCAGAUCUUAACAAGGAGAAGCAACACAUAUCCUCCCAACCACCUUUUCUGUUCUUCAACAAAUGCUUACCGGUCGUGAACUACAUCGAUCUGGGGUAUAAUUCUCGAUGAAAUUGAUGGAUGAGGGCAACCAUUGACAGAAAGGGAGAAAGACAUUCCACACUGAUCCUCUCAACUCACUUCACUUCUGACCAAUCAAAUGUCAUUGUGGUCUCCUCAAAGUCAUUACUUCAACUCAGGUGCCAACUUUGUGGCGACGCGAGAGAUGGAUUUGUCACAAUCUGUUUUUGUUAUGAGUUGGUUUAGAGGGUGGCUUUUGUGUUUUGGUCUUCUUUUGGUUUUGCUUUUGGGAGUUUUGCGUUCCUGAGUUUCCUUGUCAUGUCUGUCACCAACUGGUCAGGGCAGUUCUGUUCCUCUUUUCUCAAUCUUCAGUCACUUGUGUAUUUUGCACAUGUGCCUCAUUGUUAAGCCAAUUGGUUUGUAUUUAUUUUGUGGUUUCUGUUAUUUCUGUCUGAUCACUGUCAUAUGUUAUGUCAUGUUGUCAUUUGUCGUGCUGUGUCUGUUGGCCUUGUUGUUUUUGUUGUUCUGGAUUUUUAGUUUGUCUGUUUUGGC